CGGUUGAUCCCGCCGGACCUGACUGCUAUCGGAUUGAUACUAAGCCAUGCGAGUCAUUGUAGCAAUACAAGGCAGACGGCUCAGUAACGCGUAGUCAACCUAACCUAUGGACGGGAAUAACCUCGGGAAACUGAGAAUAAUGCCCGAUAGAACACUAUAUCUGGAAUGGUUUGUGUUCCAAAUGAUUUAUCGCCGUAGGAUGGGACUGCGGCCUAUCAGUUUGUUGGUGAGGUAAUGGCCCACCAAGACUAUUACAGGUACGGGCUCUGAGAGGAGUAGCCCGGGGAUGGGUACUGAGACACGGACCCAGGCCCUAUGGGGCGCAGCAGGCGAGAAAACUUUGCAAUGUGCGAAAGCACGACAAGGUUAAUCCGAGUGGUUUGUGCUAAACGAACCUUUUGUCGGUCCUAGAAACACCGAUGAAUAAGGGGUGGGCAAGUUCUGGUGUCAGCCGCCGCGGUAAAACCAGCACCUCAAGUGGUCAGGAUGAUUAUUGGGCCUAAAGCAUCCGUAGCCGGCGCUGUAAGUUUUCGGUUAAAUCUGUACGCUCAACGUACAGGCUGCCGGGAAUACUGCAGCGCUAGGGAGUGGGAGAGGUAGACGGUACUCGGUAGGAAGGGGUAAAAUCCUUUGAUCUAUUGAUGACCACCUGUGGCGAAGGCGGUCUACCAGAACACGUCCGACGGUGAGGGAUGAAAGCUGGGGGAGCAAACCGGAUUAGAUACCCGGGUAGUCCCAGCUGUAAACUAUGCAAACUCAGUGAUGCAUUGGCUUGUGGCCAAUGCAGUGCUGCAGGGAAGCCGUUAAGUUUGCCGCCUGGGAAGUACGUACGCAAGUAUGAAACUUAAAGGAAUUGGCGGGGGAGCACCACAAGGGGUGAAGCCUGCGGUUCAAUUGGAGUCAACGCCGGAAAUC
Molecule: ribosomal RNA, 915 nt
Filed under: uncultured archaeon
Lineage: Archaea
Description: bacterial SSU rRNA
Rfam family: Archaeal small subunit ribosomal RNA
Source: RNAcentral